RNAcentral lists this unclassified non-coding RNA (130 nucleotides) under Oryza sativa (Asian cultivated rice). RNAcentral's name for it is "partial microRNA MIR472a-37 precursor". The record is from RNAcentral. Lineage: Eukaryota; Viridiplantae; Streptophyta; Magnoliopsida; Poales; Poaceae.
UUCACAAUGUAAGUCAUUCUAGCAUUUCCCACAUUCAUAUUGAUGCUAAUGAAUCUAGACAUAUAUACCUAUCUAGAUUCAUUAGUAUCAAUAUGAAUGUGGAAAAUGCUAGAAUGACUUAUAUUGUGAA